ACCAGUGAGACGGCUAGGGCUCGGUCUCUCUCUCUUGCCGCCGCCGCGGCCGCCGCCAGCCACCCCAGCCUCCUCCCUUUCCGUCGGCCACCCUCCCGCACCGCCAGGAUCUCUCCGCGAGGAAAGGAUCUCCAGGAGGAGCACGGGCCUCUGCUGCGCCCUUUCUCUUCCUCUGCCUCGCCGUAUUUGGCCCUCUCGCAGGGUUGUGCUGAUAGGAAGGCUAGAACUGAAGAUGUGGUGGUUGGCAUUUUACAUGCACGCGGUUGAGCAUGUCACUGCAAUAUUUCUGUCUGCAUGUGAAGCACUUUGACCAAUUGGUCAUAGUUGACAACAUGGUUCAGAGAUGCACCAGUUAAACCUUUUGGGCACACUAUAGUUUCAGUACUACAUUACGAGGGCAAGAUAGUAUUCAGAGUGAGGAGACCAAGAUUGUGUUCUCUUGUUGUUAUGUAGGUUUUUUUUGUAAAACUUGCACUAUCAUCCUACGGUGCCAACCACCACAGCCAUGCUCCUCGAAAGUGUCCAUCAUAAAGCGGAUGCAUAUAACCAUAUUGGGCUGCUUCAAACGGAUCAAGAUGGUGCCUCCGGGACCGCAUUUCACCCACUACUGCCCCCCAGCAGUGCUAGGAGGGCUUGUGUGUGUGCCUCUAUCUGCCUGCUCGCUUGCCUAAUUCGGGGCAUGUCGUCACCUCUCCACUGCAUCGUCUUCGUCGUUCUCCGCUUGCCAUCUCGCCAUGCCUCUCAUCCCUGCUGCUGCUGCGUACGGUUAAGGAUCGCUGGUUGUGCUCUCGUUUGGUCGGUUUCCUACUUCAUCUUCCGCUGUGCCGCUGCUCAUUCUUCUGGUGCCAAGGGUAGGUGCCUUUGGUGAAGUGAAGAAAUAAGAAGAGUUAUGUUAUGUGUGAGAAAAUCCAUGAAGACUCAGAGGCCCCUGUUCCUGUUAGUGUGAAGAGCUACAGGAGCAGCAUGUGAUGAGAAAAUGCGGACGCCAGUAAUCCAUGAAGAUAUACUCCUGUACAGGGGAGACAUUAGGCCGGUGAAGCAGUAUGAUGAUGGGGACUGAUGUCUGUUCUUUGCGGAUGCUGUGACUGCCCCGGUACGAGAGCGGCGACGAAGAGCUCACCGUGCUUCCCAGGCACACCAAGGUCGGUGUCACCGGUAACAACCGUAUAAAGUCCGUGCUGGUCCGCCUACAGGGUGUUGUCAAGAAGGCUGUUGGCCUUGGAGUCUGGCACUGGCUGGUUCUGAAGAAUUGUGUGGAGGUGAAGUUGCAGAGGAACGCCCUGAGUGUCUUGGAAGCUCCAACUGGCAACGAGGACGACGACGAGAUCGAUGGCAGCAACAACUCGUUCUGCGGCUGCUUCGACAUGGGAGAUAAAGAUAUGAACUACUCGAGCAUCGAGUACCAGAAGCCAACAAAGCCAAGGGUCUGGCACACGAGACCAUGGUCUUCCUGCACGACGAAGUCCAGCAGCCGGGCCAAUCUUGAGCUGAUUUUGGCAACUUUUGGGUUCAUGGGAGACGACAUCAGGCCAGUGAAGCAGUAUGAUGAUGGGGACCGAUGUCUGUUCUUCGCGGAUGCUGUCGCUGCCCCGUUACGAGAGCGGCGACGAGGAGCUGACCGUGCUUCCCAGGCACACCAAGGUCGUCGUCCCCGGUAACAACCGAACAAAGUCCGUGCUGGUCCUCCUACAGGGUGUGGUCAAGAAGGCUGUUAGCCUUGGAGGCUGGCACUGGCUGAAAAGCAGAUUCUGAAGAAUGGUGUGGAGGUGAAGUCGCAGAGGAAUGCCCUGAGUGUCUUGGAAGCUCCAACUGGCAACGAGGACGACGAUGAGAUCGAUGGCGGCAACGGUUCGUUCUGCGGCAGCUUUGACAUGGGAGACAAAGACAUGAACUACUCAAGCAUCGAGUACC
Molecule: non-coding RNA, 1911 nt
Organism: Triticum urartu
Lineage: Eukaryota; Viridiplantae; Streptophyta; Magnoliopsida; Poales; Poaceae
Source: RefSeq, a predicted model, not a curated record